UACGUAGGGUGCGAGCGUUGUCCGGAAUUAUUGGGCGUAAAGAGCUCGUAGGCGGUCUGUCGCGUCGGAUGUGAAAACUCGGGGCUCAACCCCGAGCCUGCAUUCGAUACGGGCAGACUAGAGUUCGGUAGGGGAGACUGGAAUUCCUGGUGUAGCGGUGAAAUGCGCAGAUAUCAGGAGGAACACCGGUGGCGAAGGCGGGAUCCUGGGCCAGUACUGACGCUGAGGAGCGAAAGCGUGGGGAGCAAACAGG
RNAcentral lists this ribosomal RNA (253 nucleotides) under uncultured bacterium. RNAcentral describes it as "partial 16S ribosomal RNA". It matches the Rfam family "Bacterial small subunit ribosomal RNA", at positions 524 to 776 of the family's 1533-position model. The record is from RNAcentral.